CCUACGGGUGGCUGCAGUGGGGAAUUUUGGACAAUGGGGGCAACCCUGAUCCAGCCAUGCCGCGUGAGUGAAGAAGGCCUUCGGGUUGUAAAGCUCUUUCGGCCGGGAAGAAAUCGCGCCAGCUAAUACCUGGUGUGGAUGACGGUACCGGAAGAAGAAGCACCGGCUAACUACGUGCCAGCAGCCGCGGUAAUACGUAGGGUGCGAGCGUUCGUCGGAAGUGCUGGGCGUAUUGCGUGCGCAAGCGGUUAAAUCCCCGGGCUUAACCUGGGAACUGCGCUUGUGACUGCAAGACUUGAGUGCGGCAGAGGGGGGUGGAAUUCCACGUGUAGCAGUGAAAUGCGUAGAGAUGUGGAGGAACACCGAUGGCGAAGGCAGCCCCCUGGGUCGACACUGACGCUCAUGCACGAAAGCGUGGGGAGCAAACAGGAUUAGAUCCCCGUGUAGUC
This 449-nucleotide ribosomal RNA is filed under the name uncultured bacterium. RNAcentral describes it as "partial 16S ribosomal RNA". It matches the Rfam family "Bacterial small subunit ribosomal RNA", at positions 338 to 795 of the family's 1533-position model. The record is from RNAcentral.